UUGAACGCUGGCGGCAUGCUUUACACAUGCAAGUCGAACGGUAACAGGCCGCAAGGUGCUGACGAGUGGCGAACGGGUGAGUAAUGCAUCGGAACGUGCCCAGUCGUGGGGGAUAACGCAGCGAAAGCUGUGCUAAUACCGCAUACGAUCUAAGGAUGAAAGCGGGGGAUCGCAAGACCUCGCGCGGACGGAGCGGCCGAUGGCAGAUUAGGUAGUUGGUGGGAUAAAAGCUUACCAAGCCGACGAUCUGUAGCUGGUCUGAGAGGACGACCAGCCACACUGGGACUGAGACACGGCCCAGACUCCUACGGGAGGCAGCAGUGGGGAAUUUUGGACAAUGGGCGAAAGCCUGAUCCAGCCAUGCCGCGUGCAGGAUGAAGGCCUUCGGGUUGUAAACUGCUUUUGUACGGAACGAAAAAGUCUUCUCUAAUACAGGGGGCGAAUGACGGUACCGUAAGAAUAAGCACCGGCUAACUACGU
RNAcentral lists this ribosomal RNA (480 nucleotides) under uncultured bacterium. Its description in RNAcentral is "bacterial SSU rRNA". It matches the Rfam family "Bacterial small subunit ribosomal RNA", at positions 30 to 506 of the family's 1533-position model. The record is from RNAcentral.